GGGCAGGGGGCAGCUACACAUGCAGUCGGACGGUAGCACAGAGAGAGCUUGCUCCUCGGGUGACGAGUGGCGGACGGGUGAGUAAUGUCUGGGAAACUGCCCGAUGGAGGGGGAUAACUACUGGAAACGGUAGCUAAUACCGCAUAACGUCGCAAGACCAAAGUGGGGGACCUUCGGGCCUCACACCAUCGGAUGUGCCCAGAUGGGAUUAGCUUGUAGGCGGGGUAACGGCCCACCUAGGCGACGAUCCCUAGCUGGUCUGAGAGGAUGACCAGCCACACUGGAACUGAGACACGGUCCAGACUCCUACGGGAGGCAGCAGUGGGGAAUAUUGCACAAUGGGCGCAAGCCUGAUGCAGCCAUGCCGCGUGUAUGAAGAAGGCCUUCGGGUUGUAAAGUACUUUCAGCGGGGAGGAAGGUGUUGAGGUUAAUAACCUCAGCAAUUGACGUUACCCGCAGAAGAAGCACCGGCUAACUCCGUGCCAGCAGCCGCGGUAAUACGGAGGGUGCAAGCGUUAAUCGGAAUUACUGGGCGUAAAGCGCACGCAGGCGGUCUGUUAAGUCAGAUGUGAAAUCCCCGGGCUUAACCUGGGAACUGCAUUUGAAACUGGCAGGCUUGAGUCUCGUAGAGGGGGGUAGAAUUCCAGGUGUAGCGGUGAAAUGCGUAAAGAUCUGGAGGAAUACCGGUGGCGAAGGCGGC
This 700-nucleotide ribosomal RNA is filed under the name Pantoea stewartii. RNAcentral's name for it is "bacterial SSU rRNA". It matches the Rfam family "Bacterial small subunit ribosomal RNA", at positions 37 to 725 of the family's 1533-position model. The record is from RNAcentral. Lineage: Bacteria; Pseudomonadati; Pseudomonadota; Gammaproteobacteria; Enterobacterales; Erwiniaceae.